GAUGAACGCUGGCGGCGUGCCUAAUACAUGCAAGUCGAGCGAACAGACGAGGAGCUUGCUCCUCUGACGUUAGCGGCGGACGGGUGAGUAACACGUGGAUAACCUACCUAUAAGACUGGGAUAACUUCGGGAAACCGGAGCUAAUACCGGAUAAUAUAUUGAACCGCAUGGUUCAAUAGUGAAAGACGGUUUUGCUGUCACUUAUAGAUGGAUCCGCGCCGCAUUAGCUAGUUGGUAAGGUAACGGCUUACCAAGGCAACGAUGCGUAGCCGACCUGAGAGGGUGGUCGGCCACACUGGAACUGAGACACGGUCCAGGGUCCUGCGGGAGGCAGCAGAAGGGAACCGGCCGCAGUGGGCGAAAGCUUGACGGAGCAACGCGGAGUGAGAGAUGAAGGUCUUCGGAUCGUAAAGAUCUGUUACGAGGGAAGAACAAAUGUGUAAGUAACUAUGCACGUCGUGACGGUAACUAAUCAGAAAGCCACGGCUAACUACGUG
Molecule: ribosomal RNA, 497 nt
Filed under: uncultured bacterium
Lineage: Bacteria
Description: partial 16S ribosomal RNA
Rfam family: Bacterial small subunit ribosomal RNA
Source: RNAcentral